CUCAAAGAUGAUGAGGUUAAUAGGUUCGAGGCGGAAGCAUGGAGACAUGUGGAGCUGACGAAUACUAAUCGAUCGAAGACUUAAUCAAA
RNAcentral lists this ribosomal RNA (89 nucleotides) under Staphylococcus aureus. RNAcentral's name for it is "partial 23S ribosomal RNA". It matches the Rfam family "Bacterial large subunit ribosomal RNA", at positions 2837 to 2925 of the family's 2925-position model. Lineage: Bacteria; Bacillati; Bacillota; Bacilli; Caryophanales; Staphylococcaceae. The record is from RNAcentral.